UAAUCUCACUCCGACGACCUUUUUUGGGGUUGUCUGGAGGUGGACUUGGACUCUGCUGUGUUACAACAGCUGGUCUGAAAUGCAUGAGUGCACCCUGCUACUGCAGCGUCUUCAGUGUGAUAAGUAUCCUCACUGAGCAAGUUCCCCUUGAGGGACACGCUUUGCCUGGCGGGCUCUGUGCUUCGAACCGUCUUGUGACAAUACCUUGACA
This 211-nucleotide unclassified non-coding RNA is filed under the name uncultured Sebacinales. RNAcentral's name for it is "sequence contains ITS2". The record is from RNAcentral. RNAcentral also lists the same sequence under 1 other name. Lineage: Eukaryota; Fungi; Basidiomycota; Agaricomycetes; Sebacinales.